This 521-nucleotide ribosomal RNA is filed under the name Enterococcus faecium. RNAcentral's name for it is "bacterial SSU rRNA". It matches the Rfam family "Bacterial small subunit ribosomal RNA", at positions 91 to 598 of the family's 1533-position model. The record is from RNAcentral. Lineage: Bacteria; Bacillati; Bacillota; Bacilli; Lactobacillales; Enterococcaceae.
AGGAGUGGCGAACGGGUGAGUAACACGUGGGUAACCUGCCCAUCAGAAGGGGAUAACACUUGGAAACAGGUGCUAAUACCGUAUAACAAUCGAAACCGCAUGGUUUUGAUUUGAAAGGCGCUUUCGGGUGUCGCUGAUGGAUGGACCCGCGGUGCAUUAGCUAGUUGGUGAGGUAACGGCUCACCAAGGCCACGAUGCAUAGCCGACCUGAGAGGGUGAUCGGCCACAUUGGGACUGAGACACGGCCCAAACUCCUACGGGAGGCAGCAGUAGGGAAUCUUCGGCAAUGGACGAAAGUCUGACCGAGCAACGCCGCGUGAGUGAAGAAGGUUUUCGGAUCGUAAAACUCUGUUGUUAGAGAAGAACAAGGAUGAGAGUAACUGUUCAUCCCUUGACGGUAUCUAACCAGAAAGCCACGGCUAACUACGUGCCAGCAGCCGCGGUAAUACGUAGGUGGCAAGCGUUGUCCGGAUUUAUUGGGCGUAAAGCGAGCGCAGGCGGUUUCUUAAGUCUGAUGUGAA